GAAGUUGGAGUCGCUAGUAAUCGCAGAUCAGCAACGCUGCGGUGAAUACGUUCCCGGGCCUUGUACACACCGCCCGUCACGUCAUGAAAGUCGGUAACACCCGAAGCCGGUGGCCUAACCCCUCGUGGGAGGGGGCCGUCGAAGGUGGGAUCGGCGAUUGGGACGAAGUCGUAACAAGGUAGCCGUACCGGAAGGUGCGGCUGGAUCACCUCCUUU
This 216-nucleotide ribosomal RNA is filed under the name Nocardia cyriacigeorgica. Its description in RNAcentral is "partial 16S ribosomal RNA". It matches the Rfam family "Bacterial small subunit ribosomal RNA", at positions 1322 to 1533 of the family's 1533-position model. The record is from RNAcentral. Lineage: Bacteria; Bacillati; Actinomycetota; Actinomycetes; Mycobacteriales; Nocardiaceae.